RNAcentral lists this ribosomal RNA (305 nucleotides) under uncultured bacterium. RNAcentral's name for it is "partial 16S ribosomal RNA". It matches the Rfam family "Bacterial small subunit ribosomal RNA", at positions 505 to 808 of the family's 1533-position model. The record is from RNAcentral.
ACAGCAGCAGCCGCGGGAAUACGUAGGUCCCGAGCGUUGUCCGGAUUUAUUGGGCGUAAAGCGAGCGCAGGCGGUUAGAUAAGUCUGAAGUUAAAGGCUGUGGCUUAACCAUAGUACGCUUUGGAAACUGUUUAACUUGAGUGCAAGAGGGGAGAGUGGAAUUCCAUGUGUAGCGGUGAAAUGCGUAGAUAUAUGGAGGAACACCGGUGGCGAAAGCGGCUCUCUGGCUUGUAACUGACGCUGAGGCUCGAAAGCGUGGGGAGCAAACAGGAUUAGAUACCCGGGUAGUCCCUGUCUCUUAUACA